This 229-nucleotide ribosomal RNA is filed under the name Enterobacter hormaechei subsp. xiangfangensis. Its description in RNAcentral is "partial 23S ribosomal RNA". It matches the Rfam family "Bacterial large subunit ribosomal RNA", at positions 23 to 252 of the family's 2925-position model. Lineage: Bacteria; Pseudomonadati; Pseudomonadota; Gammaproteobacteria; Enterobacterales; Enterobacteriaceae. The record is from RNAcentral.
GGUGGAUGCCCUGGCAGUCAGAGGCGAUGAAGGACGUGCUAAUCUGCGAUAAGCGUCGGUAAGGUGAUAUGAACCGUUAUAACCGGCGAUUUCCGAAUGGGGAAACCCAGUGUGUUUCGACACACUAUCAUUAACUGAAUCCAUAGGUUAAUGAGGCGAACCGGGGGAACUGAAACAUCUAAGUACCCCGAGGAAAAGAAAUCAACCGAGAUUCCCCCAGUAGCGGCGA